Molecule: ribosomal RNA, 423 nt
Filed under: uncultured bacterium
Lineage: Bacteria
Description: bacterial SSU rRNA
Rfam family: Bacterial small subunit ribosomal RNA
Source: RNAcentral
UCUUGCGCAAUGGCCGAAAGGCUGACGCAGCGACGCCGCGUGCGGGAGGACGCCCCUCGGGGUGUAAACCGCUGUCAGGAGGGAGGAAGGGUCGGGGGAGGCAAUGCCCCUUGACUUGACAGUACCUCCAGAGGAAGCACCGGCUAACUCCGUGCCAGCAGCCGCGGUAAUACGGAGGGUGCAAGCGUUGUUCGGAAUUAUUGGGCGUAAAGGGCGCGUAGGCGGUCCGGUAAGCGUGUGGUGAAAGCCCGGGGCUCAACCCCGGGUCUGCCGUGCGAACUGUCGGACUCGAGCACUGUAGAGGCAGGUGGAAUUCCGAGUGUAGCGGUGGAAUGCGUAGAGAUUCGGAGGAACACCGGUGGCGAAGGCGGCCUGCUGGGCAGUGUCUGACGCUGAGGCGCGACAGCGUGGGGAGCAAACAGG